GGGUAGCGGAACACGUACGCAACUUACCCAAAACUGAUGAAUAGCCCUCCGAAAGGAGGAUUAAUACAUCGUAACCUAUUGAAGUGGCAUCACUUUAUUAGUGUAGCUCCGGCGGUUUUGGAUGGGCGUGCGGCUGAUUAGAUAGUUGGCGGGGUAACGGCCCACCAAGUCUGCGAUCAGUAACUGGUGUGAGAGCACGACCAGUCACACGGGCACUGAGACACGGGCCCG
RNAcentral lists this ribosomal RNA (231 nucleotides) under uncultured bacterium. RNAcentral's name for it is "partial 16S ribosomal RNA". It matches the Rfam family "Bacterial small subunit ribosomal RNA", at positions 104 to 334 of the family's 1533-position model. The record is from RNAcentral.